GUGGAGCAUUAUGGAUGGGUCCUUCUAAAUUUGGCUGUAUCCAUAGUUAGUGCUCCAAAAUUGAUGAAUUGGCUUUCGAUGACUACACAGUAAGAGAGCUACUGUGUGGACAGAUACGGGUCAAACAUUU
Molecule: non-coding RNA, 130 nt
Organism: Carya illinoinensis
Lineage: Eukaryota; Viridiplantae; Streptophyta; Magnoliopsida; Fagales; Juglandaceae
Product: small Cajal body-specific RNA 8
Exons: 1
Source: RefSeq, a predicted model, not a curated record